UGUCCCCAUGGGGCGAGCGGCCUCGAGGUUUCUCAGGUCUGGCCGCCAUACCAGCCCGCCAACAACAGCGCACAACUUCUUGGGGCAUUCCAACGAGGCGCCCCCUA
Non-coding RNA from Echinops telfairi (small Madagascar hedgehog), 107 nucleotides. Lineage: Eukaryota; Metazoa; Chordata; Mammalia; Afrosoricida; Tenrecidae. The record is from Rfam.